CCUACGGGAGGCAGCAGUGAGGAAUAUUGGUCAAUGGCCGGAAGGCUGAACCAGCCAUGCCGCGUGAAGGUCAGUGCCCUAUGGGCGUUAAACUUCUUUUGUGCGGGAGCAAUAAUGGUCACGUGUGGCCAGACGAGAGUGCCGUACGAAUAAGCAUCGGCUAACUCCGUGCCAGCAGCCGCGGUAAUACGGGGGUUGCAAGCGGUAUCCGGAUUUAUUGGGGUACAAGGGUGCGUAGGCUGUGAGGUAAGUCAGCGGUGAAAAGCCCCCGCUCAACGGGGUGAAGUGCCUUUGAUACUGCCUUGCUGGAAUGCGGAUGCGGUGAGAGGAAUGUGUGGUGUAGCGGUGAAAUGCAUAGAUAUCACACAGAACACCGAUUGCGAAGGCAUCUCACGAAUCCGCGAUUGACGCUGAUGCACGAAAGCGUGGGUAUCAAACAGGAUUAGAUACCCCUGUAGUC
This 460-nucleotide ribosomal RNA is filed under the name uncultured bacterium. RNAcentral describes it as "partial 16S ribosomal RNA". It matches the Rfam family "Bacterial small subunit ribosomal RNA", at positions 338 to 795 of the family's 1533-position model. The record is from RNAcentral.